RNAcentral lists this ribosomal RNA (460 nucleotides) under uncultured bacterium. RNAcentral's name for it is "partial 16S ribosomal RNA". It matches the Rfam family "Bacterial small subunit ribosomal RNA", at positions 338 to 795 of the family's 1533-position model. The record is from RNAcentral.
CCUACGGGAGGCAGCAGUGAGGAAUAUUGGUCAAUGGACGAGAGUCUGAACCAGCCAAGUCGCGUGAAGGAUGACUGCUCUAUGGGUUGUAAACUUCUUUUAUAUGGGAAUAAAAUGUUCCACGUGUGGGCUUUUGUAUGUACCAUAUGAAUAAGGAUCGGCUAACUCCGUGCCAGCAGCCGCGGUAAUACGGAGGAUCCGAGCGUUAUCCGGAUUUAUUGGGUUUAAAGGGAGCGUAGGUGGAUUGUUAAGUCAGUUGUGAAAGUUUGCGGCUCAACCGGAAAAGUGCAGUUGAAACUGGCAGUCUUGAGUACAGUAGAGGUUGGCGGAAUUCGUGGUGUAGCGGUGAAAUGCUUAGAUAUCACGAAGAACUCCGAUUGCUAAGGCAGCUCACUGGACUGCAACUGACACUGAGGCUCGAAAGUGUGGGUAUCAAACAGGAUUAGAUACCCGUGUAGUC